CGCAGUGUGGGGCGGGGCCUCCAAAGGCGCGUGUGCGCCGGCUGGGGGCCAGCCGGCGCGAUGGACUUGGCCCUUUCCAACGCCCCGAGUCUGGCGCCGCCGCUGCCGCUGCCAGCCGAGGUGAGCUCCGAGGAGGAGCUCUCUGACUGCCUCGAUUACUACUACCUGCGCGACUUCCCGGCCGGUGGGGCCGGACACAGCAAGGGCCGCACGCAGCGCGAGCGGGAACUGCGCACCAACUGGCCGGUGCCUGGCGGCCACGAACGCAAAAUCGCACAGAAGCUCCUCAACGGCCAGCGCAAGCGGCGCCAGCGCAAGCUGCAGCCCCGGCCGCGCACCCGGCUCUCCUGCGCGUCGGUGCGUACCGGCCACGCCGUUAGGGCUCGGGGUGCCCCGUGAGCGCGAUCGCCGCCUUGGUCCCCCAAGACUCGACCAGGGCAGAGUGGGCCCUUCGGAAGCGGCACCGCCUUAGCGAGUCGCAGGUGACCCGUUUGGCCCACAGCUUAUCUCCUGACUGCAGUUGGAAUGGUGGAAGAGGCUAGGGAAGGAUACCGAAGGAACUGAUAAAAAAAAGUCUUUCCUUUGACUCCAGCUGUAACGGUGGACUUAAGGGGGAGAGAAUCCAUGUUGGUCAACAGAAUUUGGUUUUGGCAUCGCUUAAGUUUACUGCUUCAACGGCCAGACUCUGGUUGUUAAUUAAGUAACAUCCAAGUGGGUAUGCCUUUUUAGGGUUUUUAAUUAAAAAGAGAGCAGCAGCAAGAGUGGCAUUUUAA
RNA transcript from Pipistrellus kuhlii (Kuhl's pipistrelle), 773 nucleotides. It is a transcript of the gene named nuclear protein 2, transcriptional regulator, with no coding region annotated. NCBI's taxonomy places the organism in Eukaryota, Metazoa, Chordata, Mammalia, Chiroptera, Vespertilionidae. The transcript has 2 exons. The record is from RefSeq and is a predicted model, not a curated record.